RNAcentral lists this ribosomal RNA (373 nucleotides) under uncultured organism. Its description in RNAcentral is "bacterial SSU rRNA". It matches the Rfam family "Bacterial small subunit ribosomal RNA", at positions 526 to 896 of the family's 1533-position model. The record is from RNAcentral.
CGUAGGGCGCAAGCGUUAUCCGGAAUUAUUGGGCGUAAAGAGCUCGUAGGCGGUUUGUCGCGUCUGCCGUGAAAGUCCGGGGCUCAACUCCGGAUCUGCGGUGGGUACGGGCAGACUAGAGUGAUGUAGGGGAGACUGGAAUUCCUGGUGUAGCGGUGAAAUGCGCAGAUAUCAGGAGGAACACCGAUGGCGAAGGCAGGUCUCUGGGCAUUAACUGACGCUGAGGAGCGAAAGCAUGGGGAGCGAACAGGAUUAGAUACCCUGGUAAUCCAUGCCGUAAACGUUGGGCACUAGGUGUGGGGGACAUUCCACGUUUUCCGCGCCGUAGCUAACGCACUAAGUGCCCCGCCUGGGGAGUACGGCCGCAAGGCUA